Molecule: ribosomal RNA, 222 nt
Filed under: uncultured bacterium
Lineage: Bacteria
Description: partial 16S ribosomal RNA
Rfam family: Bacterial small subunit ribosomal RNA
Source: RNAcentral
GAUCAUGGCUCAGGAUGAACGCUGGCGGCGUGCCUAACACAUGCAAGUCGAACGAAGCAAUCAGAAUGAAAUUUUCGGAUGGAUUUCUGGUUGACUGAGUGGCGGACGGGUGAGUAACGCGUGGAUAACCUGCCUCACACUGGGGGAUAACAGUUAGAAAUGGCUGCUAAUACCGCAUAAGCGCACAGUACCGCAUGGUACGGUGUGAAAAACUCCGGUGGU